GUCGUCGUGGCCGAGUGGUUAAGGCGACAGACUAGAAAUCUGUUGGGCUCUGCCCGCACAGGUUCGACUCCUGUCGGCGACG
Non-coding RNA from Ciona savignyi (Pacific transparent sea squirt), 82 nucleotides. The record is from Rfam. Lineage: Eukaryota; Metazoa; Chordata; Ascidiacea; Phlebobranchia; Cionidae.